GUACACGAGCGGCGAACGGGUGAGUAACACGUGAGCAACCUGCCCCUGACUCUGGGAUAAGCGGUGGAAACGCCGUCUAAUACCGGAUAUGACCUGCCACCUCAUGGUGGCGGGUGGAAAGUUUUGUCGGUCAGGGAUGGGCUCGCGGCCUAUCAGCUUGUUGGUGGGGUAACGGCCUACCAAGGCGAUUACGGGUAGCCGGCCUGAGAGGGCGACCGGCCACACUGGGACUGAGACACGGCCCAGACUCCUGCGGGAGGCAGCAGUGGGGAAUAUUGCACAAUGGGCGAAAGCCUGAUGCAGCGACGCCGCGUGGGGGAUGACGGCCUUCGGGUUGUAAACCUCUUUUACCACCAACGCAGGCUCCGGGUUUUCUCGGGGUUGACGGUAGGUGGGGAAUAAGGACCGGCUAACUACGUGCCAGCAGCCGCGGUAAUACGUAGGGUCCGAGCGUUGUCCGGAAUUAUUGGGCGUAAAGAGCUCGUAGGCGGCAUGUCGCGUCUGCUGUGAAAGACCGGGGCUUAACUCCGGUUCUGCAGUGGAUACGGGCAUGCUAGAGGUAGGUAGGGGAAACUGGAAUUCCUGGUGUAGCGGUGAAAUGCGCAGAUAUCAGGAGGAACACCGGUGGCGAAGGCGGGUUUCUGGGCCUUACCUGACGCUGAGGAGCGAAAGCAUGGGGAGCGAACAGGAUUAGAUACCCUGGUAGUCCAUGCCGUAAACGUUGGGCGCUAGGUGUG
This 737-nucleotide ribosomal RNA is filed under the name Nocardiopsis sp. RNAcentral describes it as "bacterial SSU rRNA". It matches the Rfam family "Bacterial small subunit ribosomal RNA", at positions 87 to 824 of the family's 1533-position model. The record is from RNAcentral. Lineage: Bacteria; Bacillati; Actinomycetota; Actinomycetes; Streptosporangiales; Nocardiopsidaceae.